UACGAAGGGGGCUAGCGUUGCUCGGAUUCAUUGGGCGUAAAGGGCGCGUAGGCGGCGGGGUAAGUCUGGUGUGAAAUCUCGGAGCUCAACUCCGAAAUUGCACUGGAUACUGCUCUGCUAGAGGGCUGGAGAGGAGAUCGGAAUUCACGGUGUAGCAGUGAAAUGCGUAGAUAUCGUGAGGAAGACCAGUGGCGAAGGCGGAUCUCUGGACAGCUCCUGACGCUGAGGCGCGAAGGCUAGGGGAGCAAACGGG
This 253-nucleotide ribosomal RNA is filed under the name uncultured bacterium. RNAcentral describes it as "partial 16S ribosomal RNA". It matches the Rfam family "Bacterial small subunit ribosomal RNA", at positions 524 to 776 of the family's 1533-position model. The record is from RNAcentral.